GGACGAACGCUGGCGGCGUGCCUAAUACAUGCAAGUCGAACGCCUCUUUUUCCACCGGAGCUUGCUCCAUCGGAAAAAGAGGAGUGGCGAACGGGUGAGUAACACGUGGGUAACCUGCCCAUCAGAAGGGGAUAACACUUGGAAACAGGUGCUAAUACCGUAUAACAAUCGAAACCGCAUGGUUUUGAUUUGAAAGGCGCUUUCGGGUGUCGCUGAUGGAUGGACCCGCGGUGCAUUAGCUAGUUGGUGAGGUAACGGCUCACCAAGGCGACGAUGCAUAGCCGACCUGAGAGGGUGAUCGGCCACAUUGGGACUGAGACACGGCCCAAACUCCUACGGGAGGCAGCAGUAGGGAAUCUUCGGCAAUGGACGAAAGUCUGACCGAGCAACGCCGCGUGAGUGAAGAAGGUUUUCGGA
Molecule: ribosomal RNA, 417 nt
Filed under: Enterococcus hirae
Lineage: Bacteria; Bacillati; Bacillota; Bacilli; Lactobacillales; Enterococcaceae
Description: bacterial SSU rRNA
Rfam family: Bacterial small subunit ribosomal RNA
Source: RNAcentral